This 2586-nucleotide ribosomal RNA is filed under the name Escherichia coli. RNAcentral's name for it is "partial 23S ribosomal RNA". It matches the Rfam family "Bacterial large subunit ribosomal RNA", at positions 374 to 2925 of the family's 2925-position model. Lineage: Bacteria; Pseudomonadati; Pseudomonadota; Gammaproteobacteria; Enterobacterales; Enterobacteriaceae. The record is from RNAcentral.
CGUACACAAAAAUGCACAUGCUGUGAGCUCGAUGAGUAGGGCGGGACACGUGGUAUCCUGUCUGAAUAUGGGGGGACCAUCCUCCAAGGCUAAAUACUCCUGACUGACCGAUAGUGAACCAGUACCGUGAGGGAAAGGCGAAAAGAACCCCGGCGAGGGGAGUGAAAAAGAACCUGAAACCGUGUACGUACAAGCAGUGGGAGCCUCUUUUAUGGGGUGACUGCGUACCUUUUGUAUAAUGGGUCAGCGACUUAUAUUCUGUAGCAAGGUUAACCGAAUAGGGGAGCCGAAGGGAAACCGAGUCUUAACUGGGCGUUAAGUUGCAGGGUAUAGACCCGAAACCCGGUGAUCUAGCCAUGGGCAGGUUGAAGGUUGGGUAACACUAACUGGAGGACCGAACCGACUAAUGUUGAAAAAUUAGCGGAUGACUUGUGGCUGGGGGUGAAAGGCCAAUCAAACCGGGAGAUAGCUGGUUCUCCCCGAAAGCUAUUUAGGUAGCGCCUCGUGAAUUCAUCUCCGGGGGUAGAGCACUGUUUCGGCAAGGGGGUCAUCCCGACUUACCAACCCGAUGCAAACUGCGAAUACCGGAGAAUGUUAUCACGGGAGACACACGGCGGGUGCUAACGUCCGUCGUGAAGAGGGAAACAACCCAGACCGCCAGCUAAGGUCCCAAAGUCAUGGUUAAGUGGGAAACGAUGUGGGAAGGCCCAGACAGCCAGGAUGUUGGCUUAGAAGCAGCCAUCAUUUAAAGAAAGCGUAAUAGCUCACUGGUCGAGUCGGCCUGCGCGGAAGAUGUAACGGGGCUAAACCAUGCACCGAAGCUGCGGCAGCGACGCUUAUGCGUUGUUGGGUAGGGGAGCGUUCUGUAAGCCUGUGAAGGUGUGCUGUGAGGCAUGCUGGAGGUAUCAGAAGUGCGAAUGCUGACAUAAGUAACGAUAAAGCGGGUGAAAAGCCCGCUCGCCGGAAGACCAAGGGUUCCUGUCCAACGUUAAUCGGGGCAGGGUGAGUCGACCCCUAAGGCGAGGCCGAAAGGCGUAGUCGAUGGGAAACAGGUUAAUAUUCCUGUACUUGGUGUUACUGCGAAGGGGGGACGGAGAAGGCUAUGUUGGCCGGGCGACGGUUGUCCCGGUUUAAGCGUGUAGGCUGGUUUUCCAGGCAAAUCCGGAAAAUCAAGGCUGAGGCGUGAUGACGAGGCACUACGGUGCUGAAGCAACAAAUGCCCUGCUUCCAGGAAAAGCCUCUAAGCAUCAGGUAACAUCAAAUCGUACCCCAAACCGACACAGGUGGUCAGGUAGAGAAUACCAAGGCGCUUGAGAGAACUCGGGUGAAGGAACUAGGCAAAAUGGUGCCGUAACUUCGGGAGAAGGCACGCUGAUAUGUAGGUGAAGCGACUUGCUCGUGGAGCUGAAAUCAGUCGAAGAUACCAGCUGGCUGCAACUGUUUAUUAAAAACACAGCACUGUGCAAACACGAAAGUGGACGUAUACGGUGUGACGCCUGCCCGGUGCCGGAAGGUUAAUUGAUGGGGUCAGCGCAAGCGAAGCUCUUGAUCGAAGCCCCGGUAAACGGCGGCCGUAACUAUAACGGUCCUAAGGUAGCGAAAUUCCUUGUCGGGUAAGUUCCGACCUGCACGAAUGGCGUAAUGAUGGCCAGGCUGUCUCCACCCGAGACUCAGUGAAAUUGAACUCGCUGUGAAGAUGCAGUGUACCCGCGGCAAGACGGAAAGACCCCGUGAACCUUUACUAUAGCUUGACACUGAACAUUGAGCCUUGAUGUGUAGGAUAGGUGGGAGGCUUUGAAGUGUGGACGCCAGUCUGCAUGGAGCCGACCUUGAAAUACCACCCUUUAAUGUUUGAUGUUCUAACGUUGACCCGUAAUCCGGGUUGCGGACAGUGUCUGGUGGGUAGUUUGACUGGGGCGGUCUCCUCCUAAAGAGUAACGGAGGAGCACGAAGGUUGGCUAAUCCUGGUCGGACAUCAGGAGGUUAGUGCAAUGGCAUAAGCCAGCUUGACUGCGAGCGUGACGGCGCGAGCAGGUGCGAAAGCAGGUCAUAGUGAUCCGGUGGUUCUGAAUGGAAGGGCCAUCGCUCAACGGAUAAAAGGUACUCCGGGGAUAACAGGCUGAUACCGCCCAAGAGUUCAUAUCGACGGCGGUGUUUGGCACCUCGAUGUCGGCUCAUCACAUCCUGGGGCUGAAGUAGGUCCCAAGGGUAUGGCUGUUCGCCAUUUAAAGUGGUACGCGAGCUGGGUUUAGAACGUCGUGAGACAGUUCGGUCCCUAUCUGCCGUGGGCGCUGGAGAACUGAGGGGGGCUGCUCCUAGUACGAGAGGACCGGAGUGGACGCAUCACUGGUGUUCGGGUUGUCAUGCCAAUGGCACUGCCCGGUAGCUAAAUGCGGAAGAGAUAAGUGCUGAAAGCAUCUAAGCACGAAACUUGCCCCGAGAUGAGUUCUCCCUGACUCCUUGAGAGUCCUGAAGGAACGUUGAAGACGACGACGUUGAUAGGCCGGGUGUGUAAGCGCAGCGAUGCGUUGAGCUAACCGGUACUAAUGAACCGUGAGGCUUAACCUUACAACGCCGAAGGUGUUU